CAGUAGCCGCGGGAAUACGGAGGGAGCUAGCGUUGUUUGGAAUUACUGGGCGUAAAGCGCGCGUAGGCGGUUACUCAAGUCAGAGGUGAAAGCCCGGGGCUCAACCCCGGAACUGCCUUUGAAACUAGGUGACUAGAAUCUUGGAGAGGUCAGUGGAAUUCCGAGUGUAGAGGUGAAAUUCGUAGAUAUUCGGAAGAACACCAGUGGCGAAGGCGACUGACUGGACAAGUAUUGACGCUGAGGUGCGAAAGCGUGGGGAGCAAACAGGAUUAGAUACCCCCGUAGUCCCUGUCUCUUAUAC
Molecule: ribosomal RNA, 301 nt
Filed under: uncultured bacterium
Lineage: Bacteria
Description: partial 16S ribosomal RNA
Rfam family: Bacterial small subunit ribosomal RNA
Source: RNAcentral